UACAUACUGUGCGAACGUUAUUCGGAUUCACUGGGCUUAAAGGGUGCGUAGGCGGCUUGCUAAGUAGGGUGUGAAAUCCCCCAGCUCAACUGGGGAACUGCACUCUAUACUGGCGAGCUAGAGUGAGAUAGGGGUGUGUGGAACUGCCAGUGGAGCGGUGAAAUGUGUUGAUAUUGGCAGGAACGCCGGUGGCGAAAGCGACACACUGGGUCUCAACUGACGCUGAGGCACGAAAGCCAGGGGAGCGAACGGG
RNAcentral lists this ribosomal RNA (253 nucleotides) under uncultured bacterium. RNAcentral's name for it is "partial 16S ribosomal RNA". It matches the Rfam family "Bacterial small subunit ribosomal RNA", at positions 524 to 776 of the family's 1533-position model. The record is from RNAcentral.